Molecule: ribosomal RNA, 253 nt
Filed under: uncultured bacterium
Lineage: Bacteria
Description: partial 16S ribosomal RNA
Rfam family: Bacterial small subunit ribosomal RNA
Source: RNAcentral
UACAGAGGUCCCAAGCGUUGUUCGGAUUCAUUGGGCGUAAAGGGUGCGUAGGUGGCGCUGUAAGUCGGGUGUGAAAUUUCGGAGCUUAACUCCGAAACUGCAUUCGAUACUGCGGUGCUUGAGGACUGGAGAGGAGACUGGAAUUCAUGGUGUAGCAGUGAAAUGCGUAGAUAUCUGGAGGAACACCGGUGGCGAAGGCGACAUCCUGGACCGGUAUUGACGCUGAGGCGCGAAAGCCAGGGGAGCAAACGGG